CCUACGGGAGGCAGCAGUGAGGAAUAUUGGUCAAUGGGCGUAAGCCUGAACCAGCCAAGUCGCGUGAGGGAUGAAGGUUCUAUGGAUCGUAAACCUCUUUUAUAAGGGAAUAAAGUGUGGGACGUGUCCUAUUUUGUAUGUACCUUAUGAAUAAGGAUCGGCUAACUCCGUGCCAGCAGCCGCGGUAAGACGGAGGAUCCGAGCGUUAUCCGGAUUUAUUGGGUUUAAAGGGUACGUAGGCGGCCUAUUAAGUCAGAGGUGAAAGUCUGGGGCUUAACCAUAGAAUUGCCGUUGAUACUGGUGGGCUAGAGUAUGUUUGAGGCAGGCGGAAGUCGUGGUGUAGCGGUGAAAUGCGUAGAGAUCAGGCAGAACCCCGAUUGCGAAGGCAGCCUGCCAAGCCAUGACUGACGCUGAUGCACGAAAGCGUGGGGAGCAAACAGGAUUAGAUACCCGAGUAGUC
Molecule: ribosomal RNA, 460 nt
Filed under: uncultured bacterium
Lineage: Bacteria
Description: partial 16S ribosomal RNA
Rfam family: Bacterial small subunit ribosomal RNA
Source: RNAcentral